UGAAUUAUAGAAGGGCAUACGGUGAAUGCCUUGGCGUUAGGAGGCGAUGAAGGACGUAGGAGCCUGCGAUAAGCUCGGGUUAGCUGGCAAACAAGUGUUUGACCCCGAGAUUUCCGAAUGGGGAAACCCAAUCCUGGUAAUACGGGAUUACCAACGUAAGUUGGAGCCAACGGAGGGAACUGAAACAUCUAAGUACCUCCAGGAAAGGACAUCAAUUGAGACUCCCCUAGUAGUGGCGAGCGAACGGGGAAUAGCCCAAACCGAUCUAGUGUAAGCAUGCAAGCGUUGCUGGGUCGGGGUUGUAGGGCGUACUGCUAACCAACUGCAUUUGGUUAACGGAGUUACAAAGUUAUGAAUUAGUGGAAGCAGCUGGGAAGCUGCGGCGUAGAGGGUGAGACCCCCGUACACGAAAAUUCAUGACCUCCGGAGUACGUUCCUGAGUACGGUGGGACACGAGAAACCCCGCCGGAAUCUGGGAGGACCAUCUUCCAAGGCUAAGUACUACCUAGCGACCGAUAGUGAACAAGUACCGUGAGGGAAAGGUGAAAAGAACCCCGAAAGGGAAGUGAAAUAGACCCUGAAACCGUAUGCCUACAAACAGUGGGAGCUCUUCGGAGUGACCGCGUACCUUUUGCAUAAUGAGUCAGCGAGUUGUGGUUCGUGGCAAGGUUAAGCCGAUAGGUGUAGCCGUAGGGAAACCGAGUCUGAAUAGGGCGUAUAGUCGCGGGCUGCAGACCCGAAACCAAGUGAGCUACCCAUGGCCAGGUUGAAGCGUUGGUAAAACUUCGUGGAGGACCGAACCCACAUAUGUUGAAAAAUAUGGGGAUGAGCUGUGGGUAGGAGUGAAAGGCUAAUCAAACUUGGAAAUAGCUGGUUCUCCCCGAAAUGCAUUGAGGUGCAGCGUCGAGUAGCACCAACGGAGGUAGAGCACUGACAGGAUGCGGGGCCGCGAGGCUACCAAACCCUAUCAAACUCCGAAUUCCGUUGAGUGACGCUCGGCAGUGAGACUGCGGGGGAUAAGCUCCGUGGUCAAAAGGGAAAGAGCCCAGAGUACCGGCUAAGGCCCCAAAGUGUGUGCUAAGUGGUCAAGGAUGUGGGGAAACCCAGACAACCAGGAGGUUGGCUUAGAAGCAGCCACCCUUUAAAGAAAGCGUAAUAGCUCACUGGUCGAGUUGCCCUGCGCCGUAAAUAUAACGGGGCUAAGCACGCCGCCGAAGCCGUGCGUUCGCGUAAGCGAGCGGUAGGGGAGCGUUCCAUAUGCAGUGAAGGUGUAUCGCGAGGUGCACUGGAGGGUAUGGAAGUGAGAAUGCUGACGUGAGUAACGAUAAAGGGGGUGAAAAACCCCCUCGCCGUAAACCUAAGGUUUCCUGUCCAAGGUUAAUCCGGGCAGGGUUAGUCGGCCCCUAAGGUGUAGCCGAAAGGCGAAGCCGAUGGGAAACGGGUUAAUAUUCCCGUACCACCAGUAAUGAGUAAAGCAGGGACGGAGAAGGGUAGAUGAUCGGGCUGAUGGAUUAGCCCGUUUAAGCCUGUAGGUAUUAGGACCGUAGGAAAAAAACGCGGACCUAGCCAAGAGGUGAAUACGAGCCCGUAGGGCGAAGUCAUUGAUCCCACGCUUCCAAGAAAAGCUGCGGACUACGUUGAUUUACUGGUGACCGUACCGCAAACCAACUCAGGUAGGUAGGUGGAGAACACUAAGGCGCUUGAGAGAACUCGGGUUAAGGAAUUAGGCAAAUUAGCACCGUAACUUCGGGAUAAGGUGUGCCCUCAAGGUGAAAGGACUUGCUCCUAGAGCUGUCGAGGGUUGCAACAAAGCAGCGGUAGCGACUGUUUACCAAAAACACAGGACUCUGCUAAGCCGCAAGGCGAUGUAUAGGGUCUGACGCCUGCCCGGUGCUGGAAGGUUAAGAGGCGUUGUUAGGAUUCGUCCGAAGCAGCAAAUUGAAGCCCCAGUAAACGGCGGCCGUAACUAUAACGGUCCUAAGGUAGCGAAAUUCCUUGUCGGGUAAGUUCCGACCUGCACGAAUGGCGUAACGACUUCCGCACUGUCUCGACCCGAGACUCAGUGAAAUCGACAUUGGGGUGAAGAUGCCCCAUACCCGCAGAAAGACGGAAAGACCCUGUGAACCUUUACUCUAGCUUGGCAGUGGUAUUCGAUUCAGUUUGUGUAGGAUAGGUGGGAGACUUUGAAACCGCGGCGCCAGUCGUGGUGGAGUCAACCUUGAAAUACCACCCUGAUUGUAUUGGAUGCCUAACCCCUUAAAAAUGGGGGACAUUGUCUGGUGGGGAGUUUGACUGGGGCGGUCGCCUCCUAAAUAGUAACGGAGGCGCACAAAGGUUCUCUCAGCCUGAUUGGAAACCAGGCGCAGAGUGCAAUGGCAUAAGAGAGCUUAACUGCGAGACUGACAAGUCGAGCAGAUGGGAAACCAGGUCAUAGUGAUCCGGCGGUCUCCGAAUGGAAGGGCCGUCGCUCAACGAAUAAAAGGUACUCCGGGGAUAACAGGCUGAUCGCGCCCAAGAGUUCACAUCGACGGCGCGGUUUGGCACCUCGAUGUCGGCUCAUCGCAUCCUGGGGCUGUAGCAGGUCCCAAGGGUUGGGCUGUUCGCCCAUUAAAGCGGUACGCGAGCUGGGUUCAGAACGUCGUGAGACAGUUCGGUCCCUAUCUUCUGUGGGCGUUGGAGAGUUGAGAGGAGCUGUCCUCAGUACGAGAGGACCGGGAUGGACGUACCUAUGGUGUUCCAAUUGUCACGCCAGUGGCAUUGUUGGGUAGCUACGUACGGAAGGGAUAACCGCUGAAAGCAUCUAAGUGGGAAGCCCCCCUCAAGAUUAGCUCUCCCUGAAGGGCCCUGGAAGACUACCAGGUUGAUAGGUCGGGUGUGUAAGCGCAGCAAUGCGUUCAGCUAACCGAUACUAAUUGCCCGUUUGUUUUCCUCUAA
RNAcentral lists this ribosomal RNA (2934 nucleotides) under metagenome. RNAcentral describes it as "bacterial LSU rRNA". It matches the Rfam family "Bacterial large subunit ribosomal RNA". The record is from RNAcentral.